This 487-nucleotide long non-coding RNA is filed under the name Setaria viridis. RNAcentral describes it as "long non-coding RNA (SVIR_LNC010027)". Lineage: Eukaryota; Viridiplantae; Streptophyta; Magnoliopsida; Poales; Poaceae. The record is from RNAcentral.
CCAAAAGGCAAAAUAGAUAUUUUGAUCCCUCAAUGUUUCGCUGAGGAUCAAGUUCAUCCCACAACUUUUACAUCAGCCAAUAUAGUCCCUUAACUAUCGUUUUAGGAUCCAACUCAUCCUUAUACUGAUGUGGUACUCCACAAUGGUACGAGACUAUUGAAAAAGUCAUUUUUGUCUUUUGGCUCCAUAUUCCCGUCCUCAAUUUUCCCAUGGUUUCUGGUGUGCGGAUGCUCAUCAAUCUACUCCUUGCUUGCAUUGAGGAGCUGGGGUGGGAUCGACAUGCAGCUGCUGGUGGCUUGCUUCCCGAGAGAAUUGGAGCAGAGCAGCGGCACCUGCUGCCUGCUUUGACGAUUGGGGCUGAGGAGAAGAGAGUUACACAUUUUUGCUUUGUAUCUGUUCUUUGCUUGCUUUCACGGAGAAAGGGGAGGGGGAUCUAUAUUGUUGUGAAGCUCAUAUUGAAGAGAGAAAUGAGCAGGCAGCUCUGCUU